Molecule: long non-coding RNA, 785 nt
Organism: Clupea harengus (Atlantic herring)
Lineage: Eukaryota; Metazoa; Chordata; Actinopteri; Clupeiformes; Clupeidae
Exons: 2
Source: RefSeq, a predicted model, not a curated record
GCAGAUACGAUACGACUAGCUGUCCUCACGCCGAAUGAUCCGAAGGAAUCACCUGUCGACAGGUGAUUCAGACCAAGGUAAAUGACUACCUGUCGACAGGUGAUUCAGACCAAGGUAAAUGACUACCUGUCGACAGGUGAUUCAGACCAAGGUAGAUGACUACCUAUGGACAGGUGAUUCAGACCAAGGUAAAUGACUACCUGUCGACAGGUGAUUCAGACCAAGGUAAAUGACUACCUGUCGACAGGUGAUUCAGACCAAGGUAGAUGACUACCUGUCGACAGGUGAUUCAGACCAAGGUAAAUGACUACCUGUCGACAGGUGAUUCAGACCAAGGUAGAUGACUACCUAUGGACAGGUGAUUCAGACCAAGGUAGAUGACUACCUGUGCACGUAUAACUGAGUCACAUACCUCACCUGUGAAAAGGUAGUUAAACUUGGAGGUGUUGAAGAGAUGGAGGCGCUUACACCUUUUCUCAGGUGAUUCAAACGUAGCUUACCUUUUGCACAGGUAACGGAGAGUGCCGCCUGUGUGUCGACAUUCACACAGGGUCACCUAGAGUGGCGUCUGCCUGUUUAUUGCCUUCUUCCUCGCGUACCCCGCCGGAUCAAUCUAUAGAAUUGCUACCCCCACCUGCGUCCAGGUAACUACAACAGGUCUCUAGAAGUACAUCUGUGUGCAGGUGAUUGAUUGAGCCACAGCUCUGGGAGAGCAGGUGUAUGUAUGCAGAUGAUCUGUAAUACUGUGUCAACAUGUUCAUUAUUAAACUCCAUUCACUCACUAA